AGUGAACGCUGGCGGUAGGCCUAACACAUGCAAGUCGAACGGCAGCACAGUAAGUGCUUGCUCUUACGGGUGUCGCGUGUCGGACGGGUGAUUUAUACAUCGGAAUCUACUUUUUCUUGGGUGCUAACGUAGGGUAACUUACGCUAAUACCGCAUACGUCCUACGUGUGAAAGCAGGGGUUCUUCUGACCUUUCGCGAUUGUAUGAGCCGAUGUCGGAUUAGUUAGUUGGCUGGGUAAAGGCCCACCAAGGCGACGAUCCGUAGCUGGUCUGAGAGGAUGAGCAGCCAGACUGGAACAGAGACACGGAACAGACACCGACGGGAGGAAGCAGAGGGGAAUAUUGGACAAGGGGGGAAAGCAGGAUAGAGAAAAACCGCGUGGGGGAAGAAGGAGUACGGGUUGGAAAGCCCUUUUGUUGGGAAAGAAAAGAAGCAGGUUAAAACCCCGAUGUAAUGACGGUACCGAAAGAAUAAGCACCGGCUAACUUCGUG
Molecule: ribosomal RNA, 492 nt
Filed under: uncultured bacterium
Lineage: Bacteria
Description: partial 16S ribosomal RNA
Rfam family: Bacterial small subunit ribosomal RNA
Source: RNAcentral